This 6191-nucleotide long non-coding RNA is filed under the name Sus scrofa (pig). Its description in RNAcentral is "lncRNA (ENSSSCG00000062832.1)". Lineage: Eukaryota; Metazoa; Chordata; Mammalia; Artiodactyla; Suidae. The record is from RNAcentral.
UUUUUUUUUUUUUUUUUUUUUUUUUUUGUCUUUUUGCUAUUUCUUGGGCCGCUCCCGCAGCAUAUGGAGGUUCCCAGGCUAGGGGUCGAAUCGGAGCUGUAGCCACCGGCCUACGCCUACGCCAGACCCACAGCAACGAGGGAUCCGAGCCGCGUCUGAGACCUACACCACAGCUCACAGCAACGCCGGAUCCUUAACCCACUGAGCAAGGGCAGGGACCCAACCCGCAACCUCAUGAUUCCUAGUCGGAUUCGUUAACCACUGCGCCACGAUGGGAACUCCAGGCCUCCCCCUUUCAACCGGUGUGUUGCUCAGUGUUGCAUAGAUGCUUGUCCUGCUCCAUGAAAAAAAAAAAAAAAAAAAGUCUCUGGAACUGCUAGACAUUAUACUCCUGUCCUAAGGAAUAUUAACACUUUAGGUGCUGAGGAGACUUGCAUUAAAUAAAUCAACUUAACCCGUUUUAUUUCUCACUUACGUUUAACGAGAUGAGCCCGUUAUUUAUUUAGCAAACACACAGCACACUCUAGGUGUGCUUUAUAAAGGCUAACUCAUUUAGUGCUCAUAACAACUCCGGAAGGGGAAGUAUUAUUGUUUCUCUUGCUUUAAAAGAUGAUGAAACCAUGGCACAGAGUAGUUACGUCUUUUGCUUAAGAUCACACGGUUUUGUAGAACAAGGAUUGGACCGCAGUCUGCCUCCAAAAUCUAAACUCUUAUCACUCUGCUCAACUGCCCCUCCAGUUUAAAACACACACACAAACGUGCACACACACACACUUAUGUGCAUGUAUAUAUCCCACAAUUAAAAAUAAUAAGGCUGGAAUUCCCACUGUGACUCAGCAAAAAUGAAUCCGACUAGUAUCCAUGAGGAUGCGGGUUCGAUCCCUGGCCUCGCUCAGUGGGUUAUGGAUCUGGCGUUGCCCUGAGCUGCAGUGUAGACUGCAGAUGUGGCUCGGAUCCAGCGUUACUGUGGCUGGGGUGUAAGCUGGCAGCUGCAGCUCUGAUUCGACCCUUAGCCUGGAACCUUCCAUAUGCUGCAGGUGAGGCCCUAAAAAGCAAAAGAGUAAUAGUAAUAAUAAUAAUAAUAAUGCCAUUAUUAUUGUAAUAGCCGUUAAUAUCCUACCAAACAGUAACUCCAGACGGUAUACUUUAAGAAAGGCUGCCUGAGACCCUCCUCUGCAACGGCAUCUCUGCCAUCUCCAUCACUUGGUCCCAUCACAGAAUCCAGCACCAUCCAAGCUCCCCCAGUGCUCUAGACACCAGUUCUUCUCAUGGGGGAAAGCAAAGUACCAGAAGCCACAGGGGGUCCAUAGCCACCUCCUCUUUUACGGAAACAUUUCCCAGCCAGUCUUCCCCUUCUUUGGCGUGGUACUCGUUCCCAUUUCAGUGAGCUUUGCAGGGUGGUGGGUUUUAUCUACCCUUUUCCUGAGGAAGAAGAUCUCUUCUUUGGGGUCUUCUGUUCCCGUGGAACAAUCCUUCAUUGGUCCUCUCAGCAUCUCAGCUGUCCACACCACACUCCUAUCCACUUUGCGUCUAAUCAGCAGGAAGUGCCUUUCUAGGUAAAAUGAGAAGUUAGGUUAAUGUGGAAAUCUCCAGGUGUUCAGAGAGCAUGUCCUGUGCCCAGUUUUGUGUUGGGAGAAUGGAAUCUGAUGCCUGGUCUCUUUCAUGGCAGGGGACCUGCAUGAAUGGAGCACAGAAGGCGAGUCUUGGGAAAACCAGACUUGGAAAUGUCUCGAUAUAAGUACCUCUGACUCUCUGCUUCCCUACUUUAAGUCACAGCACAAGUUCAAAUCUCCUAAACAGUGUCAUUUUAUAAAGUGUCCCCAAAGGAGAGGCCCUCAGCAAUACUGAAGGUCAGGGUGGGCACACAGUUUUCUCUCCAAUACCAAUAGCAGUGGGUUGGAACCGUUGCUUAAACUGUCCUGGUGAUAUUUUAAGACUGAAUCUGAGUUUAAAGAGUAAGGACAUUGUGAUCAGUUCAGUGGAGUGUAUCUUCUAGAAUGUUACUAAUUCAGUGCUGUGGAUUCCUUGGAUGUCAACUUGGAGAGGGAUUCUUGGGGAAGUGAUGGAUUGAGAGAGGGCUCUCAGGAGAAGCUGGGAAAGGAAACCAGGCUGGAGCAGGCGGAGACAGGUAGGCAAGGAUGUGGGCUCAGCUGAGGACUAGCCUACUCACUGGACAUGAAUCGCAGCCAGGGGACUGACCUUUUGUAUGCUGGUGGUCAGGCAAUGGCUGUGGCCAGUGGGGGCAGUGAUGGCACACACCCUCCAGCCCAGUGGCUCUCCUCAGCAUACAGCUAUUCUGGGGAGAAGGGAGCAGCUGUGAGUCAUUAGCAGCCAACACCACAGCAGCUGGGAAGUGGGUGCAUCAGCCCAGUGAAGGGGGUCUGGGCAGGGCACCAAGAACACCCACUGCUGGCACAGAAUGAGAGCAUAAUGGCCCGCUGGCUAGUUAGCAUCCUUAAUAUAGCACAGCCAGCUCCUUUUGCAGGUGAGAAAUGAUGCCCAGGGAGAGGAGCUGAAGUCAAAACCCCUUUGCACACUACCAGCAUCUUCCAUGGCUUGAUCCUAUAACCAACUCUAUUCAACCGCCAUGCUCUGCUCAGGGCACAGCUGAUAUUCCAGCCCUGCCCAUGCCUGCAUGACAAGGAUUCAGGCCCUUCUUGUGCUGUCAUGCAUUUCUUCAUGCUUCUCCUUCUGUAGAAGCCUGCAAGAUACCUUUCCUUUCUUCUCUACCAAGCAAUUCUAAGUAACCUGUAGCCUCCAUUCAUAACAUCUGUAAUGGUAGGUCCAUCAGAGAUGGCAUAUGGGGGUUUUGUCCCUUUAAAAACAAUCUGGAAGGCUUUGUAGUCUCAGAGCAGAUGAGCUGUUAGAGCUCAUAGAUUAUCUAUAAGAUCUGUGCUGCCAUCAUGGAUCUCCUAUAAGUAUUUCUAAAACAGUAUAGAUUUCUUGUAGCAUCUCACAGAUUGCCUAAGAUAAUCACGCUGUGUUCAAUAGUCAUUCAUUCAAUAAUCUAUUGUGUGCCUACUCUGUGCCAGACCACACUGUGGAGAAACCAGGUGAACAAAACUGACAAGGUCCCUGCCCUUAUUCUAAGCAGAAUAAAGGCUAUCAAUGUAUGUAGAACUAAUAAAUAAUUUCUGGUGUCAUUAAGUGCCAUUGAGAGUGAUGGGGCAAAGACUCAAAACUCAUGGGUCAAGGAAAGGCUUCUGUGAGGAGGUAGCAUUUGAGCUGAGACUGAACUGUGAAAAAGAAUCAUCCUGAAGAAGAGGUGAGAAAGGAGCCCUCCUGGCCGAAGAAAGAACAAGUGUAAUAGUCCAGAGGCAGGAAUGAGCUUGACAUAACUGAGGAUCAGGGGAAGUGUCAGGCUGUCCAGGGACUAGUGAGUGAGCAAGCGAGAGGGUGGUAGUACAAAAACGCUGAGAAGGGACCUGGGAUAAAGCAAGAAAAGCCGCAGUGCCUUCCCUCAAGAAACUCACACUCCAUUUUCCAUAGUUACUUGUAGAGAGUAAUAAGUAACAUUACAGAUUACCUGUGGCUAUUUAUGGUACCAUUUCAGUACUUAGAGCUGCUCUGAAAAGUCUGCAGUGAUGGAGGAGUUCCCUUGCAGCUCACAAGUUAAGGGUCUGGUGUUGUCUCUGCUGUGGCUCUGGUUACUGCUGCAGCUUGGGUUCAAUCCCUGGUUCAGGAAUUUCCCCACGCCAUGGAUGUAGCCAAAAAAAUCAGCAGUGAUACUAGAAUUUUAUUGUGAAUUGCCUGUAGGAACAUGAUUUGCCACCUCAAGUCAUUUGGGUUGUUAGAGAUGACUGCUAAAUUCUUACAGUCUCGGUAUAGGUCCAUUCGUGGCCAGCUGUUGGGGGUGCCUCUACCUGCUUUUAGUAGCAUUGUAUAUGACCUCAAGUCAUUGUCAUCCAUUGUAGACCUCUUAAAUACUUUUUUUCCCUUUAAAACAUUAUUGAAGUAUAGUUGAUUUUCAUUUGUGCUAUACAGUUAUUCAAUUAUAUGUGCACUCUUAUAGUUCCCAUUAUGGCUUAUCACUUAGAUGCUUUUCAAUUGCUAAGACUGGCAAAGUAUGUGUGCAGUAUCACUAAGAACUGUUUGGAAAUUAUUGUUAAACCCAAGAAGGUCCCCAAAGAACAAUAUUUUCCUUGACUGAGUUUUUAACUCUCUCUUACUGCUUAACGUGAGAAAUGAAUCAAAAACAAGUAUUUGGUACAAACGGUGGCACCCAGUUGGAAACAUCCCCCCUGUGCAUCAGCAAGGAUGAAGCACAGCUGCAAGCGACAGAGACCCACCAUAAUAAUGGUUUAAACAAAAGAGAAGAAGGUUUCUCUUUCAUAGACGAGUCAGACAUCAACCAUCCAGGGGGCCAGUUUGGCAGUUUUACCCUGGGAAAUCCUCAGGGAUCCAGUUCCUUCCGGCAUCCCGGAAGCUCUGCUAUCCAAGAUGGCUGUCCAGCCACUCCACCUGCAUUCCAGGUAGCAUCAUGGAGAAAGAUGGGAAGAAACAGCAAUGGGUGAACGCUGGAUACUUUUUGCAGAAAGUUUCGAGAAACUAUUACAAUAUGCUCAUGCUAACUAUUGGCCAGAACUUAGCCAUAUGACAUCAUUGCUGCAAGAAGGCUGUAAAAUGCGGUCUUCAUCUGCGGUGGUCACAUGCCCAGUAGAAUAUUCUCUUACUAAGGAGGAAGAGGAUAUGGAUAAUGAGGGCCAAUCAACAGCCUUUCCUACACCCAGGGUGGACACAGCUCAUGUAACAAAAUUCACAUUAGCAGAAAUGCCCAAACCAGUGGUUGCUGGCCCUAGUAUCUUUAAAAAAAAACAAAAAAACAAACAAAAAAAAAAAAAAAAAAAAAAAAACACAGACUAAAUUUAAAAAGGGAAGGAGUACAAAAGUGUGUGGUCAACAUAUAAUUUUUCCUGAGGACAUGAAAAACAACUUAAACUUAUUACCUACCAUUAUCAUCAUCUUACAAAGAAAGAGACUUUACCACAUGUACAAAAACAUAUCUUUAAAAACAUUUUAAAGGGAUUAAAUUUACUUUUGGUAGGGGGUGAGGUAACUCAUUUUUUUCUUUUGUUUCACCACAAGGCAGCAAAACUUUCAUCAUAGCCCAGUAUUAAUAAAUGAUGCUUCAACCACUUAUUUACAGAACAGAAACAGACUCUCAGACUUUGAAAAUUAACUUAUGGUUACCAAAGGGGAUAGGUGGAGGGGGAUGGACUGGGGUUUGGAACUGACAUAUGCACACAGUGGUAUAUGGAGUGUUUGGCCAACAGGGACCUGCUAUGUAGCACAGGGAACUCUACCCAAUAUACUGUGAUAAUCUCUAUGGGAAAAGAAUGAAUGUGUGUAUAUGUAUAACUGAACUGAUUUAUUGUACAGCAGAAAUUAUCACAACAUCGUUAGCCAACUACACUUCAAGAAAAUGUUUUUUAAAAAAUGAUGCUUCCACCCAAAAGCUUUUCUUGAAGACUGUAUGACAUUUUCUAUUGUUAAAUCUUCCCCACAUUUACAAUAAUCAUCACCAUUUCUUUAGAGCACAAACCACUAACUAAUAGACCUGGAGCCAAAUUCUAUUCAUAGAUGUUAUCUUUGACCUAAUCAGCACUUUUAAAAAAAAAAAAAAUUUUGAAUUUGUUGUCAACAGCUAAAUCUUACGGGAUUUCACAUUUCGAAAAAAACGUAAUCCUUGCUUCUCUUGAAAAGUGGGAAGCUCUGGCACGGCGCCCUUGUUUCCACACGAUCACCCCCAGCUGGAUGUAGCUCUGAAGCAUCUGUCCCUUUAGAUGGGCGAGCGCUUGCCAAGUCAUUACAGGUCCCACCUGGCCAGUGCCUGGCCUUUAUGCUACCUGCCAGGCCCCUGCGGAAAUCUGAGCUGGUGACUCUGAGUCAGAGCUAUUCAUGUGCAGGUAUUUAUAUACCUACUUCUAAACUUCACAUCAACCUGAAAGCUAAACAGUCUAGCCUCAUUUUUCAACAUCAAAGAACAGAGCGGCGAGGCGACUUGCCUGAGACCACAACACUCAUAGCUGCCCAUCUGGAAUCUGGACCCAGGCCCGUGGCUCCAAGGCCCGUGUGCAUUCUGUUCUGCCACCCUGCCUUCCACUGGGCCUCUGACCCACAUCUCUGUCAGCCCUCACACAGAGGUAGAAUUAUUCAUGCCAUCUGGGUUAGAAGACUUCAUUAGAAUUUGC